RNAcentral lists this long non-coding RNA (223 nucleotides) under Pelobates cultripes (western spadefoot toad). The record is from RNAcentral. Lineage: Eukaryota; Metazoa; Chordata; Amphibia; Anura; Pelobatidae.
AAAACAGUACAAAGAGUUGUCAUUAAUGGUAAAUUUUCAAGCUGGACAGAGGUGGCAAGUGGUGUCCCUCAGGGGUCUGUUCUAGGACCCAUUCUAUUUAACAUGUUUAUAAAUGAUCUUGAAGACAGCAUUGAAAGUCAUGUUUCAGUGUUUGCAGAUGACAGAAAACUCUGUAAAAUAAUACAAUGUGAGCAAGAUAUUACUUUGUUGCAGAGGGAUUUAG